RNAcentral lists this long non-coding RNA (265 nucleotides) under Amborella trichopoda. RNAcentral's name for it is "long non-coding RNA (ATRI_LNC003944)". The record is from RNAcentral. Lineage: Eukaryota; Viridiplantae; Streptophyta; Magnoliopsida; Amborellales; Amborellaceae.
AUGUUGAAGGGGCAGCUUUAUUAAGGUUUCAGGGGGGGGCGGGGGGAGUUUGAAAGCUUGGGCGCAACAAAAAUCUUACACACAGAGACCAUGCAACAACUGGCGCCACUUUCUCUCUCUUCUUUUUUUCAAUUUCUCUCCCUUCUUUCUCUCUUUCUCUCUCUUCUUUUCUCUCUGCCCUCAGUGGUUGGCUCAGACAAUUGUCCUUCUCUGCAACCACCCUGCCAUCUGUAAAUAAACCCUACAUCCCCGCUUUUUAUUUUCU